UUCAUUAGCCCAAAGCAAGCUGUGGUUCCUGUGGAGACAGAAAGGGUAGCAGCAGUUACUGGCAGUUACUCUUCCCCAGUCUCCCUACCACAUGUUCCACGUUCUACGAAUUCAGUUGACUUCAACAGUCCUGCCACAGAGAAGUGGCCUUCGUAAAAGAAAAAAAAAAGAAUCCACACAGCUGACAUGUGGUGGGGAUUUAAACCCAGUUCUGAAUACCAGAAGUCCAAGAUCAAGGUGCUGGAAGAUUGCACACAUGGAAGGACUGCUUUCUGUCUCAUAGCUGGUGGCAUCUCGCUGUGUCUUCAUAUGGUAGAAGAGAAAAAGGUCUGGCUUGGACAUUUUUAAUGAGAACUAGAGUGUCAUUAUGGAAGAAUGAAAACUUUCAACUGAAUAACCUCUCAAAGACCCCUCACCUCUUGUACCACCUCCUAAUGAUGUAUGAUUUCAAGAAUUUUUACAUAGAUACAGAUGUUGAGACCAUAAUAGGCAUCCUGACCCUUGGAAGCAAUGUAGUUAACAUUUGGGGAGGAAAGAAACCUUCAACUUCCUCUGCUAGUGUUUCAUGAGAAUUUCUGUUUCAGUUCUGAAGACUUACGUGUUUGUGGCCUCUCCGCUGCCACCAUAGAAGAUCAGAAUCGUACAGGGAAUGAAAAAGUGCUUAUAGCAUUUCACUGUCUCGUUUCUCCCAUCUUUAGAGCAAGUCACUAUGGAGACCUGAUCAAGGACCUCUCUCAGUUCUUAUAGCUGUACCAACAGAUGGUAGCACCAAGAAGAAAUUGCUUUGGUACUUUAAUCACCAGCCCAUGGGGUGAGAACAGAGGCUGAGCAGUUGCACAGCUACCAGACAGACCUCCAAGAAGAGAUGGAACAUAAUUUUAUAAAGCUAUUUAUAAAUCCAGAACACUGAUGAACGUCAAAGCACUUUUUGAUCAAAGCUGAGACAAGCAAAGUUCAUCGAUAAGAAUUCAGUCUUAUUUUCUUCCCCAGUUAAAAUAAAGCCUGUAUGGCAAGAGUCAUGGACAUGAAAA
Long non-coding RNA from Peromyscus eremicus (cactus mouse), 1031 nucleotides. RefSeq lists it as uncharacterized. The transcript is spliced from 2 exons. The record is from RefSeq and is a predicted model, not a curated record. NCBI's taxonomy places the organism in Eukaryota, Metazoa, Chordata, Mammalia, Rodentia, Cricetidae.